ACUGCGCAGAGAGGGAGAGCUGUGCAGCGCCCCUUCAGCGAAGCACCUCUCCCACGAAGCGGGAGGGGGAACGGAACCCCUUCUGUUCCUCCUCCAGCUUCGCUGAAGGGGUGCUGCGCAGCUCUCCCUCUCUGUGCAGU
Podarcis lilfordi (Lilford's wall lizard) is the source of this 140-nucleotide non-coding RNA. Lineage: Eukaryota; Metazoa; Chordata; Lepidosauria; Squamata; Lacertidae. The record is from the annotation of a GenBank genome assembly.